Molecule: ribosomal RNA, 301 nt
Filed under: uncultured bacterium
Lineage: Bacteria
Description: partial 16S ribosomal RNA
Rfam family: Bacterial small subunit ribosomal RNA
Source: RNAcentral
CAGCAGCCACGGGAAUACGAAGGGGGCUAGCGUUGCUCGGAAUGACUGGGCGUAAAGGGCGCGUAGGCGGCGAUCAAAGUCAGGCGUGAAAUUCCUGGGCUCAACCUGGGGGCUGCGUUUGAUACUUGAUUGCUAGAGUGGGGAAGAGGGUCGUGGAAUUCCCAGUGUAGAGGUGAAAUUCGUAGAUAUUGGGAAGAACACCGGUGGCGAAGGCGGCGACCUGGUCCUUGACUGACGCUGAGGCGCGAAAGCGUGGGGAGCAAACAGGAUUAGAUACCCGCGUAGUCCCUGUCUCUUAUAC